CGCGAUCCCGCUGCCCUCAGGACUCGGACUGCUUGCCCCCUCCGUUUCCUUCAGGCCUUCCUCCGCCAGCUGGGACAAGUACUUCUGUGGAGGAGAGAGGGACAAUAUAGGCAAAAAAGAUGUGGAGAAGCUGUAGAGACAGCGGCGUUCUGCCUGCCAAGGCCCCUGACAGAGCCCUAUCUGAGUUGGCUGUGACAGAGACUCCUGGCUCCCUGACAGAAAACAAAAACAAAAACAAACAAACAAAACGGUUAUCCGCAUGGAGGAAGACAAAAGGAAAUACCCGCAGCUGACGUACCCAGGCCUGCCUGAGAAGGCUAGAUGUACACAGACCAGGCUGGCCUCAGACUCGCAGAGACCCAUCUGUCUUGGCCUCCUGCGCGAUGGGAGCUAAGCCUAGGAACUCAGGUCCCACACGCUGGACCGGAGUUUUCCCCGUGCGAGCAGAACACAGCAGCUGAGGCAGGGGUGCUGCUCCUGUUUCCUCUAGUGGGACAAUCUGGGAGACAGAAUUGAAAGGAGGGAGGGAGUAUGGCAGCGUUCACAGGGAUGAGGACGGGGCAGCUGUUCCUGGGGCCCUGAGCCUCCUACAGCCCCGCGGCCCCCUUCCUUCACUGCGUGCUGAGCACAGGAGAUCCUAAACUUGUAAACAGGACUUUCCUUUACAUCUCAAUAACAGUAACCAAUAACAAUAAUAAUAUAAUAACGACGACGACAAAUGGAAAUAACUCAUGGAAAGUGGUGACUCUGAGAGAGGACAGGAGAGGCGAGGAAGCCCGGAACGGCUCGCAGUCUGCCAGCCCAAAGCUCCACACUGCAUCUUGAAACCUGGGCUGUCUCUCUGCUGUGCAGGCUCUCUGCCCGAUGCCUGAUGUCUGCAAAGCACUCAGCAUUCAGCCACAAGCCCGGAAGUGAGAGGGUGUCACUCAGUCCAGCUGUCCCAAGGGGCUGAAUGUCCUUCUCCUUCAGCCUCUGCCCUUACCCUCCGGGCAGAGAAUGAACACAUGGCUCCACUUGGGGGUGGGGUGGGGGUUGGGAGAGGCUCUGAUGGGAGAUCGAGCUGACAGGAAUAGGUGUCAAGCAAGGCCUACCGCCUCUUUCUUCUGUUAUUGCAAAAUAGUUGUGUGCUGGCUGCUGCUCCCCACGGGUCUCAGAGACACAAUGCAAGAGAAAAGCUACUAGGAGAGAACUCUGGCCAGAGCCCUGACUCUGUCCUGUCCCUCAUCUGACAGGCAGCAGGGUGCAGCUGGGCUGUACCAGGAACUUAGCCCAGGGGAUUCCAGUGUAAACCAGGCCACGGCGACCCAUCGUCUCUACCCUGGGGUCCCCAGGAGGAGGGGAACCACCUCAGGGGAGUCCAGUGAAACUGAGGCAGGAGCCAAAUUGUGCAGCAUGGCUCCUUUCGACCAGAGGGUUGCAGCUACCAUCUGUGGGGUUGUGAGCGAGACGUCACUUGAGCAAAGUCCCCCACCAUACCAGAAAAGGCAAAACCAAAGGGCGUGGAAGCAACAGCAACGGCGGAGGAGACAGGCCUUGCGCUCCCGUUUAAGCUGUGGCCUCAGAGGCACUGUUGGACUUCUCUGGAACGAGUUUUGUCGUCUGUAAACUAGGACGGAUAAUGCCACACACGGUGUUGUGAGGAAGCACCCGUCACUUUGCGUGGCGCUCAGGAAAACACUAGAUGAGGAACAUAGAAGCCAAGCAUCCAAGCACUGGGCCUCACCCGCUUUCCGGCCUUUCCCAAGGCUGCCGGAGAACCACUUCCAUGACUUGGCAGCAGCUUUCUUCCCAGGCCCUGCCCAGUGGGUUGGGUCAACAUCAGUAAUCAAAAGACAGCACUCGGGAAAGAUGAGUGAGGCAGGAGGAUCUUCAAACAACAGCACCACCCAGGAGCUGCGAGGGCACCGCAGCGCCCGGCCACCACUCCCCGAGGAAGCCCAAAUGCAGGGAGCAGAGCAGAGCAGCGUCGAGAAACGCUGCCAUAACGGGGUCAGGAGUCACUGAGCGCUCCAUUUCUUCAGGGUUUAUUAAGUACCGUCAUUAAAGCCGCAUCUGCCUCCUAAUAAUAGCUCCUGGCACGGAUAAUUAUGACUCUGUCAUCCUAGUAAAGCCCAUGUUGGAGAGAGGGGGAAGCUGACUUUUUGCCAGCGAUGCUAUUUGGUUGUCGUACGAGCAGGCCUUGGCAGGCUCACACUGGCUAGAGUCGCAAAGUGCUGGCCCGAAUCACAAGCGCCCUUCUGCAGUCAUGAGCACCCCAGUUCCUGACAACAAGACUGACUUCCAUUCUCCCAGCGGGGUGCCCUGUCCUUGGCAUCCUGCAUGUCACCUCUGUGCUCUCUACAGGGACUGGAAUGUUGUCUCUCGUAUUUCUAGAAACCUUUCGGUAGUAGUGACCAAUCCUGGAGUGUAAGGGGCUUGCAGCCCCACCGAGAAGCACAGUGGGCCUCAGUGAGUUCUGAACCACCCAACAAGCCCUUCCUAAAUCCUUGCUGCUGGAAGACACUAGGACCCCACAAUCAUUUUCUCCUCAAAAAAAAAAAAAAGUCUACACAGAGGCUUUUAACUAGGUUCAUAGAGACAAAGAACUCAAAGCAAAGAGGUUAAAUAAGUUACUGCUUGCCAGCCAGCCAUCAAGUGGCAGAGGUGGGAUUUGAACCCAGGAAUAAGAGGCCGCAGUCUGUGCCCUUACUGAAGGGCAGAUGGCAGCGUGGCCAGGGGACAGACAUCCCACGUCCCUGAACUUGAUGUGCGAUCUUGGGAAAGUCAAACACAGAACACGGUAGCAUCCCUUCCUGGAGGGUGAGAGGGUACAGAGACCAGUGAGCUGUUGGCAUUCCAGGCUCAUAACAAUAAUCUGCAAUCCAAGCUGGAAACAACUUCAGCGCUCACCGCCAGGUAGACAGAGAGUGUGAUAUGCCCUGAUCCACAAAACAGCACAGGUGCCUAUGAAUAUCAAAACAGAUAAACCACACGCUUUGCAUAUGUGUCCUUUGUCGUAUGCCAAUUACACUCUAAUAUAGCCCUUUAUAAAAACAAAAUCAGAUGCCAUUUCUCUCCUAACAGGUUGGCAAAGAUUAAAAACUGAUAACUGGGUUUGGCAAAGACGUGGGGAACAGGAAUUCACCCCGGAGGUGGCACUGAAAGCUGUUAUCCUCUUUUCGGAGUGCAAUUUAGUAGUAAUUAUAACCUUUUCAAUGCAAAUAUAUAUGGCCCCACAGUGCGCCCAUGCUGGGCUAGCAGCCCGUCUCACAGAAAUGCUGGCAUGUGCGCAAGGGGAACCAAACCAGCACAUAUGGGCAGCAGUCGAAGACUGAGGCUAAGCACACACUAGUAGAAUUUGAAUCCGAACAAACACCAGCCCUUCUGCUCGGGAGCCUCGUGACUGCGGCUUAGAUUUCCUAUCUGUAAAGCCGGGGUUUAAAAUACCACUUGUUUCUUCCAUGUUUGGAGAGUGCUCAAUAAUGCAUACAAAGCACUAAGAAAACUGAGGGGUGAUGGAGGACAAUUCGUAAAAGCUUAGCUGUUACCACGUGUUCACAACGGAAAGACAACAAACAGGAAACUACCAGUAAAGGAUCCGCAGCUAAUCGUGCAGAUUUUAGGAAGGAGUGUUUGCAGUGGUUCUGAGGCUCUCUGUGUCUACUCGACUAGAUCCCUAAGACCUGCUGCUACAGAGCGUGGAGCAUAUGGGAGAAAAAUCAUGGUGAACACGGCGACAAAAUCCACCUCUGGGGCUGGGGAGGGACAGCUAAGACCACUAGAGUUGACUUUAAAUGGUCUUUGCAGUUUAGGUUUGUUAUAAUAAGGGUUCACGCUGUCUAUAGUGAAAAGACAUGCAUGAGGAA
This is a long non-coding RNA of Mesocricetus auratus (golden hamster), 3845 nucleotides long. RefSeq lists it as uncharacterized. The transcript has 4 exons. The record is from RefSeq and is a predicted model, not a curated record. Lineage: Eukaryota; Metazoa; Chordata; Mammalia; Rodentia; Cricetidae.